Molecule: ribosomal RNA, 253 nt
Filed under: uncultured bacterium
Lineage: Bacteria
Description: partial 16S ribosomal RNA
Rfam family: Bacterial small subunit ribosomal RNA
Source: RNAcentral
UACGUAGGGUGCAAGCGUUGUCCGGAAUUAUUGGGCGUAAAGCGCGCGUAGGCGGCUUUGCAAGUCGGGUGUGAAAUCCCCAGGCUUAACCUGGGAACUGCAUUCGAGACUGCAUUGCUAGAGUAUGGGAGGGGGAAGUGGAAUUUCCGGUGUAGCGGUGAAAUGCGUAGAUAUCGGAAGGAACACCAGUGGCGAAGGCGGCAUCCUGGACCGGCAUUGACGCUGAGGCGCGAAAGCCAGGGGAGCAAACGGG